Molecule: long non-coding RNA, 408 nt
Organism: Melitaea cinxia (Glanville fritillary)
Lineage: Eukaryota; Metazoa; Arthropoda; Insecta; Lepidoptera; Nymphalidae
Exons: 2
Source: RefSeq, a predicted model, not a curated record
CUUAAUAUGAAAUCGGUAUUCUCCAAGCAAAACAGCCACAAAUUUCAACCGCAGCCUCGGCGUACGCUUACAACUUUUAGUGUCAAACGAAAAGCUACUAUUUCGUGGCUGUAGCCAAGGAUUUUCAGUCCAUUUAUAUUGUGUUUAGUUUGUUUUAGUGAUAUUUUAAGUUGGAUUACUCUAUAAAAAUGGCCGCAAGAGUAUUGUGUAUGUUGUACCUUCUAGAAGAAGCUAAAAGGCUAGACGAUUUACACAAAAGACGUCAAAGUCGCAGUAUACGCAAUCUUUAUAAAAUAUCAUCAGACAGAGAUUACAUACGCAACUACAGGCUCACCAGGGAUCUUAUAGAAAUAUUGGAAGACGAUCUCAUGCCUUUUUUGCCCCAACAAGUACGGCGUGGUGGGCUCA